Molecule: long non-coding RNA, 208 nt
Filed under: Gossypium raimondii (Peruvian cotton)
Lineage: Eukaryota; Viridiplantae; Streptophyta; Magnoliopsida; Malvales; Malvaceae
Description: long non-coding RNA (GRAI_LNC010626)
Source: RNAcentral
GAUCCUUUUCAUUUAUCGUGAUUCUCCAGUUCAAUGCUCAUUUAAUUAAAGGCAACGCCAUGAAUUCAUUUCCAUUUUUCCAUCCAUGUGGCUCUUAUCUGAAGCAGGAGGGUCGUGGCCUAACUAUAAAAAAAGGUUCUUACUCCAUUUAUACAAAAAAAAAAACAAAACCAAACUAGUAACACCGUACAUUUACCACUCAUAUGCA